This 372-nucleotide unclassified non-coding RNA is filed under the name soil metagenome. RNAcentral describes it as "partial contains 5.8S ribosomal RNA, internal transcribed spacer 2, and large subunit ribosomal RNA". The stretch from base 1 to 120 matches the Rfam family "5.8S ribosomal RNA", at positions 35 to 154 of the family's 154-position model. The record is from RNAcentral.
GAUGAAGAACGCAGUGAAAUGCGAUAAGUAAUGUGAAUUGCAGAAUUCAGUGAAUCAUCGAAUCUUUGAACGCAUCUUGCGCUCCUUGGUAUUCUGAGGAGCAUGCCUGUUUGAGUGUCAUCAAAUUCUCAACCACUUCUUUUGAUGUGGCUUUGGAUAUGGGGGGAUUUCUUUUUUGCAGGCUUCUGAAAAACAAAGUCGGCUCCCCUGAAAUGUAUUAGUGGUGUCUGAGCAGGAGACUACUAUGGGUGUGAUAAAUCUAUCUAUGCCUUGGUACAACUGCUAUGCCGCUUCUAGCGAGUGCAUUUGACAAAUUUGACCUCAAAUCAGGUAGGACUACCCGCUGAACUUAAGCAUAUCAAUAAGCGGAGG